This 687-nucleotide long non-coding RNA is filed under the name Homo sapiens (human). RNAcentral describes it as "HSALNT0028196". The record is from RNAcentral. Lineage: Eukaryota; Metazoa; Chordata; Mammalia; Primates; Hominidae.
UUUCUUUCCUUUCUACUAUGCUACAAUACUUUUCUUAAUUAAGAAUAAUCAUUUUUUUUGGUAGCUUCAGUUAUUUCUUUCAAAAUAUCCAAAUACAGUUAUCUUCCUCUUUUCCAGUUCAUAAAGAGAACAUGCAAAAUAUGUGUUCAGUGAAGAAUGAAAAAUAUAUAUCCAAGCCUUCUCCAAAAAGGCCUCAGUGACUUUUGCAACAUCCUCAACUUCAUUUAUCUAUAGGAUGGCUUUUGAUAGCUUUAUGUAAGCUUUUUAAAGUUCAGCCAAGCCAGCUGCAUGAUCAACACAAAGACAAUAGCUCCCACACACAGGGUUACAUGGAUUAAAGAACCCGAUCCAUCAGUAAACCUGCCAGAUGGCAGUGGAAGAAAGCUUGUAACUCUCUCACUUUCAUUUCAACAGCAGCAAACAAUGUUCAAUGUUUAAAAUAAACUCUUCCAGAUGAGCUAAAGAUAAACUCUGAGGUGGGUGGACUUGAUCUUGUUAGGCUGCAGCUCUGAAGUGUUUGAUUACAUUAACACAAAACCCCUGGGUAGAACCCACUUCUGUCAACAGAAUGCCUAGACUCAAACACCUACUACACAAAGCCAUUUCCUGUGCUUUCAUGGGUUGGUGGCAGAAACUCGCUCUGCUUUUUUCACAAACUAAUAAUAAUUAUAUAUUUUUCUGUGCUCA